Molecule: ribosomal RNA, 497 nt
Filed under: uncultured bacterium
Lineage: Bacteria
Description: partial 16S ribosomal RNA
Rfam family: Bacterial small subunit ribosomal RNA
Source: RNAcentral
GACGAACGCUGGCGGCGUGCCUAAUACAUGCAAGUUGAGCGCUGAAGGUUGGUACUUGUACCAACUGGAUGAGCAGCGAACGGGUGAGUAACGCGUGGGGAAUCUGCCUUUGAGCGGGGGACAACAUCUGGAAACGAAUGCUAAUACCGCAUAAAAACUUUAAACACAAGUUUUAAGUUUGAAAGAUGCAAUUGCAUCACUCAAAGAUGAUCCCGCGUUGUAUUAGCUAGUUGGUGAGGUAAAGGCUCACCAAGGCGAUGAUACAUAGCCGACCUGAGAGGGUGAUCGGCCACAUUGGGACUGAGACACGGCCCAAACUCCUACGGGAGGCAGCAGUAGGGAAUCUUCGGCAAUGGACGGAAGUCUGACCGAGCAACGCCGCGUGAGUGAAGAAGGUUUUCGGAUCGUAAAACUCUGUUGGUAGAGAAGAACGUUGGUGAGAGUGGAAAGCUCAUCAAGUGACGGUAACUACCCAGAAAGGGACGGCUAACUACGUG